RNAcentral lists this ribosomal RNA (101 nucleotides) under Escherichia coli. RNAcentral's name for it is "partial 16S ribosomal RNA". It matches the Rfam family "Bacterial small subunit ribosomal RNA", at positions 1 to 101 of the family's 1533-position model. The record is from RNAcentral. Lineage: Bacteria; Pseudomonadati; Pseudomonadota; Gammaproteobacteria; Enterobacterales; Enterobacteriaceae. RNAcentral also lists the same sequence under 13 other names.
AAAUUGAAGAGUUUGAUCAUGGCUCAGAUUGAACGCUGGCGGCAGGCCUAACACAUGCAAGUCGAACGGUAACAGGAAGCAGCUUGCUGCUUCGCUGACGA